This 124-nucleotide ribosomal RNA is filed under the name Oryctolagus cuniculus (rabbit). Lineage: Eukaryota; Metazoa; Chordata; Mammalia; Lagomorpha; Leporidae. The record is from RNAcentral.
GUCUACGGCCAUACCACCCUGAACGUGCCCGAUCUCGUCUGAUCUCGGAAGCUAAGCAGGGUCGGGCCUGGUUAGUAGAUGGAUGGGAGGAUUGAAUAGGAAAAUGAAGUGAUCCCUGUAGUCC